Long non-coding RNA from Ictalurus punctatus (channel catfish), 807 nucleotides. NCBI's taxonomy places the organism in Eukaryota, Metazoa, Chordata, Actinopteri, Siluriformes, Ictaluridae. The record is from Ensembl.
CUUACGUCACUUCCGCAAGCCAUUAAGUUUCAUUCACAAGCAAGAUUGUGCUCUUUUUCAUCGGUGGACAUCUUGGAUGCAGCCAAGUCAAUUUGAUGACGGAUGAGGUGCAUUGCGACCAUAGAGGCAUUUAUAGGCGGUAAACCGCUUCACAGACGGUAUUUUUCCACAAAAUAUUUUGAGGUUGUGUUUGAGUUCCACAGGCUUGUAUCACCUGACAUUGUUUGAAGGGCUUGAUCAGCACCUCCCUGGCCCCUGCAGUUGUACAACACCAAGAGAGGCAGUGAAAUACCAGAAAUCCAAAAUGUGAUGACGUGCCUUGAUAGAGAUAUCUAAUCAGAAGAAGAGGGAAGGAGUUCUUCAGGGCCUACCUUAUUUCAUGAGGGAGAAUCCAAGCAAAUUUUUUAAAAUUUAUUUAUUUUAAUUUGUGAGGUAAAAUGGUAAAUAUUGUUUUUAUUUUUAUGAAACCUUCUUCUCUUUCUUCCUAAAGUACCCAAUAACACAAGAUCUGAAUGAAUGGUAAGUUUUGAAAUUUGGCACAUUGAUACUACAGGCUAUGAGUAACUGCGACAAAACAAAUGGCCCACAUGAGCCCAUAGGUGGUGCUAUAGGCCACACUCAAUCUACAUUAUUUUCCCCCAGCCCCCUAAGUCCAGAAUGUCUGAAAAUUGGUAUACGUGCCUUAUUUCUCAUUGGGAACAAAAAAUCCAUUGGGACCAUAAAGUCCAUCAUGAUUUUCCGGUACACUUUGUCCAAACUACAAAAAUCUUCUCCUUAUGAACUGUAGGUCCGAUUGACUUGAACUGU